Molecule: ribosomal RNA, 599 nt
Filed under: uncultured eukaryote
Lineage: Eukaryota
Description: eukaryotic LSU rRNA
Rfam family: Eukaryotic large subunit ribosomal RNA
Source: RNAcentral
AGCGUGUAAAAAACGUACCCGCCCAACGGAUCGGCCCCGAAAAAUUGAUGGCGCUCGAACGCAACCCUCGAACCCCGCCGACGGAGGCUAGGGGAGGCCCCGUCGAGUAGGCGGACGCGCGGGUCGCUUCGACGCUCCCGCGCGAGCGGGGGCGGAGCGGCCCGUGGUGCAGAUCUUGGUGGUAGUAGCGAUCACCCAGGCGAGAACCCUGAGGGCCGAAGUGGAGAAGGGUUUCUCGAGAACGGCACUCGCUCGAGAGUUAGUCGAUCCUAAGCUGCCGGCGGCAGCCACGAAACGGUCGAUCGGGCGCGAGCCCGGCAGCCACGACCGGGCAGCGAAAGGGAAUUGGGAACCUCCUUCCCAAACCCCGGAACCGGAACGAGGGCGGCGACGCGAACGAAACGGCCGCGGAGACGGCGGCCGCGGCCCCGGAGAGAGUUCUCUUUUCUGUGCGACUGGACGUCGCCCCGGAAUCGCGUCGAGCGGAGGGGGGGUCGGAGUUCAGGGAAUAGCGACCCCGGCCUUUCGGGGUGUCCGGGCGGUCCGCGGUCGUCCCAUGAAAAUCCGCGGAUGACGAGUAGGCGACGGUCCGGGUCGUA